Molecule: ribosomal RNA, 1517 nt
Filed under: human gut metagenome
Description: eukaryotic LSU rRNA
Rfam family: Eukaryotic large subunit ribosomal RNA
Source: RNAcentral
CUAAUCAAAUUAAAUUUAGAGAAAGGGAAUAUGAAUGAUAUUUCAUAACUAAAAUUAAAUUUUAAAUGGUGACAUUUUUUUAAACUUAUUUCCAUCAAUUAAAUACUGUUUAAUAGGGAUUUCUUUCCUAUAUAACUUUUUAAUUAAAACUUAAGAAACAGGUUAACUGGAGAAUAAAGUUUUAAUUUAGUAAAAUUAUAAUUUCGAUUAUAAUAACGGCUAUUUAAAUGAUCCAUGAAACAAUAAGUUUAUUUUUUUCAAAAAUUAAUUUAAUCGUACCGAUAACCGCAUCAGGUCUCCAAGGUGAGUAGCUUCUGGCCAUUGAGUAAUGGUAAUUUAGGGAAUUCGGCCAAUUAGAGCUGUAACUUGGGAUAAAGCUUGGCUCUGAUGGAAAUCAGAACCGAUAGUUACAAGGAGAGCCCAACUGUUUAAUAAAAACUUAGUGUCGCGUCAUACCUUUAUAAGUAAUAAACGUGACAUGAAUCCUGCUCAGUGCUGUGUUUGUUAAACUGGAUUAAUCCAUUUAAGCGCCGGUAAAUAGCUGGGGUAACUAUGACUCUUAUCAAAGUAGCGAAAUACCUCGUCACUUAAUUAGUGACCUGCAUGAACGGAGCUAUGAGGUUCUCACUGUCCCAAAUUAUCACUCAGCGAACCAACAGUUGUGGGAACGGGCACAAAUUAUCCAGCGGGGAAAGAAGACCCUGUAGAGCUUCACUUUGGUCUAAUCUUGUAUAGUUUCGUUAGGGGUGCAGUCUAGGUGGGAGAUUUUUAAUCAAAUAUGAGAAACCACUACCCUUUCUGGAAUUAUACUUACUAAAAUUCUUUUAUAAAUUUUAGGAUCGGAUUAGAUAGAAAGUUUGGCUGGGGCGGCACACCUUCGAAAAAGCAGCGAAGGUGUCCUAAGUUAAGCUCAGUAAGGACAGAAAUCUUACGUUGAGGAUAAGGCCAAAAGCUUAAUUUACUGUGCCUUUUUGUACUAGGAUCAGUUUGGAAACAAAGGCCUAACGAUCCCUAAUUAGUCUUAGGUGUGUAAGACUUGGGGUGACAGACAAGUUACCUCCGGGACAACUGGCUUGUGGCUGCUAAGAGAUCAAAUCAACGCAGCUUUUUGAUUCUUCGAUGUCGGCUCUUCCUAUCCUAGUGAUGUACAAGUCACUAAGGGUUGGAUUGUUCACCCGUAUUAGGGAUCGUGAGCUGGGUUUAGACCGUCGUGAGCCAGGUUUGUUUUAUCCUACUGGAUAUAAUUUAGCAUCUUGAUAGUAGUUUGAUUUAGUACGAGAGGAACUGUUGAAUAUGGUCUCUGGUUUGGGAAUUUUAUGAAAAUAAAAGUUCCAAAGCUACGCCGUCUGAGAUAAUGGCUGAAGGCCUCUUAAGCCAGAAACUCAUCUAAAAAUAGAUGCUUUAAACUAUUUAAAAGAAUUAAAUUUAAAAUAUUUUUUUUAUUAAAAUUUGUUAAUAAUUCUUUAGUUUAAAUGACCAAAUGUAGAAGACGUUUUGUCAACAAGGGUCCUGUAAGU